CCUACGGGAGGCUGCAGUGGGGGAUAUUGCACAAUGGGGGGAACCCUGAUGCAGCGACGCCGCGUGGGUGAAGAAGCGCCUCGGCGCGUAAAGCCCUGUCAGCAGGGAAGAAAAUGACGGUACCUGAAGAAGAAGCCCCGGCUAACUACGUGCCAGCAGCCGCGGUAAUACGUAGGGGGCAAGCGUUAUCCGGAUUUACUGGGUGGAAAGGGGGCGCAGACGGCGGUGCAAGCCAGGAGUGAAAGCCCGGGGCCCAGCCCCGGGACUGCUCUUGGAACUGCGUGGCUGGAGUGCAGGAGGGGCAGGCGGAAUUCCUGGUGUAGCGGUGAAAUGCGUAGAUAUCAGGAGGAACACCGGUGGCGAAGGCGGCCUGCUGGACUGCAACUGACGUUGAGGCCCGAAAGCGUGGGGAGCAAACAGGAUUAGAUACCCUUGUAGUC
RNAcentral lists this ribosomal RNA (440 nucleotides) under uncultured bacterium. RNAcentral's name for it is "partial 16S ribosomal RNA". It matches the Rfam family "Bacterial small subunit ribosomal RNA", at positions 338 to 795 of the family's 1533-position model. The record is from RNAcentral.